AGCAGUAGCCACGGGAAUACGAAGGGUGCAAGCGUUACUCGGAAUUACUGGGCGUAAAGCGUGCGUAGGUGGUGGUUUAAGUCCGUUGUGAAAGCCCUGGGCUCAACCUGGGAACUGCAUCCAAAACUGGCGAGCUAGAGUAUGGUAGAGGGUGGUGGAAUUUCCUGUGUAGCGGUGAAAUGCGUAGAUAUAGGAAGGAACAUCAGUGGCGAAGGCGACCACCUGGACUGAUACUGACACUGAGGUGCAAAAGCGUGGGGAGCAAACAGGAUUAGAUACCCCCGUAGUCCCUGUCUCUUAUAC
This 303-nucleotide ribosomal RNA is filed under the name uncultured bacterium. RNAcentral's name for it is "partial 16S ribosomal RNA". It matches the Rfam family "Bacterial small subunit ribosomal RNA", at positions 507 to 807 of the family's 1533-position model. The record is from RNAcentral.